Molecule: long non-coding RNA, 975 nt
Filed under: Olea europaea subsp. europaea
Lineage: Eukaryota; Viridiplantae; Streptophyta; Magnoliopsida; Lamiales; Oleaceae
Source: RNAcentral
AGUAGGUUUCCUAUGCAACCUACAAGUGUAAACCUAUAGGCCUCUACCAAAAACUAUUCAUCUUACUUUUCAAAAAGAUAGCAAGCUCACCAUAAUAGACGUAUGGUUCCUUAGAAACCAAACUGUGAUAUGUAGCUUCCUUUGUAGCAUUAAGUACAGUAGCAAAAGUUUCCUUUGACUCUUUUCAACUUGAGUAACAAUCGAUCCAUUAUUGACAGAUGUAACAUAAGAUCGUGGAAGUUGAGUGUGAAUCGGAGUACCAGAAGGAACAAUGGGUGGUCUAGAUAAGAUUGGGAUGUGGAAUUGCCUCGAGGACUACGCAUGAGGGCUACGUGCAAGGGGCCGAUGACGAGUGGAACAACAUGUGAGCUGAUGUCUGAAGGUUGAAUGGAGCUGUAUUUGAGACCUAUUGAGGUUGAAUCUGGUGUGCAUUUGUUACGAAUGGAAGCUACAAAAUCUAUCUUAAACUUGAUCCUUUUCGAAAACUCAAAAUUUGUGGUGAGAUUUGAAAAUUUAUUGACCGAAGGCAUGGGCAUCACAGGUGUAUUGAUAGUAGUAGAAUGUAAUGGUGGUAGCACCUUGUCAUGUAUAGAAACCAUAUUACUAGAAUUUGAAAUUGAAGGGGGCUCGACUUUAGCGUAUUAGGGUUUGAAAUUGAGGUUCAAUUGGUCAUCGAUUUUGUGAAUUAGAAGGUUACCCAUGAUCGUAUGAUCUUCAAUUUCAGUAAUGUUGGAACAUCAAUUGGCUUAUUGAAAUUCCCAUCACUCUCGGUUUGAUUUGACUCCAAUCUGGAGUUUGAGUUGUUAAUUAACUCAAUUACCUGUGACCCAUGGUUUUUCCAUCAUCAAUUGAUGUUUUAAAGGUUGAAUUGAACAUUUGAAGCAAUACAUUUUGAUCAAAUUCCUUUGUCCCAAAUUUUUCACAUGGAGCUCGAAUUGCAUCCAUAAAUUCAUCGAGUUUUAGACAAAAUUGGGC